Molecule: ribosomal RNA, 1372 nt
Filed under: uncultured bacterium
Lineage: Bacteria
Description: bacterial SSU rRNA
Rfam family: Bacterial small subunit ribosomal RNA
Source: RNAcentral
GAUGAACGCUGGCGGCGUGCCUAAUACAUGCAAGUCGAGCGAACGGACGAGAAGCUUGCUUCUCUGAUGUUAGCGGCGGACGGGUGAGUAACACGUGGAUAACCUACCUAUAAGACUGGGAUAACUUCGGGAAACCGGAGCUAAUACCGGAUAAUAUUUUGAACCGCAUGGUUCAAAAGUGAAAGACGGUCUUGCUGUCACUUAUAGAUGGAUCCGCGCUGCAUUAGCUAGUUGGUAAGGUAACGGCUUACCAAGGCAACGAUGCAUAGCCGACCUGAGAGGGUGAUCGGCCACACUGGAACUGAGACACGGUCCAGACUCCUACGGGAGGCAGCAGUAGGGAAUCUUCCGCAAUGGGCGAAAGCCUGACGGAGCAACGCCGCGUGAGUGAUGAAGGUCUUCGGAUCGUAAAACUCUGUUAUUAGGGAAGAACAUAUGUGUAAGUAACUGUGCACAUCUUGACGGUACCUAAUCAGAAAGCCACGGCUAACUACGUGCCAGCAGCCGCGGUAAUACGUAGGUGGCAAGCGAUAUCCGGAAUUAUUGGGCGUAAAGCGCGCGUAGGCGGUUUUUUAAGUCUGAUGUGAAAGCCCACGGCUCAACCGUGGAGGGUCAUUGGAAACUGGAAAACUUGAGUGCAGAAGAGGAAAGUGGAAUUCCAUGUGUAGCGGUGAAAUGCGCAGAGAUAUGGAGGAACACCAGUGGCGAAGGCGACUUUCUGGUCUGUAACUGACGCUGAUGUGCGAAAGCGUGGGGAUCAAACAGGAUUAGAUACCCUGGUAGUCCACGCCGUAAACGAUGAGUGCUAAGUGUUAGGGGGUUUCCGCCCCUUAGUGCUGCAGCUAACGCAUUAAGCACUCCGCCUGGGGAGUACGACCGCAAGGUUGAAACUCAAAGGAAUUGACGGGGACCCGCACAAGCGGUGGAGCAUGUGGUUUAAUUCGAAGCAACGCGAAGAACCUUACCAAAUCUUGACAUCCUUUGACAACUCUAGAGAUAGAGCCUUCCCCUUCGGGGGACAAAGUGACAGGUGGUGCAUGGUUGUCGUCAGCUCGUGUCGUGAGAUGUUGGGUUAAGUCCCGCAACGAGCGCAACCCUCAAGCUUAGUUGCCAUCAUUAAGUUGGGCACUCUAAGUUGACUGCCGGUGACAAACCGGAGGAAGGUGGGGAUGACGUCAAAUCAUCAUGCCCCUUAUGAUUUGGGCUACACACGUGCUACAAUGGACAAUACAAAGGGCAGCGAAACCGCGAGGUCAAGCAAAUCCCAUAAAGUUGUUCUCAGUUCGGAUUGUAGUCUGCAACUCGACUACAUGAAGCUGGAAUCGCUAGUAAUCGUAGAUCAGCAUGCUACGGUGAAUACGUUCCCGGGUCU